AACGAACGCUGGCGGCAUGCCUAACACAUGCAAGUCGAACGAGAUCCUUCGGGGUCUAGUGGCGCACGGGUGCGUAACGCGUGGGAAUCUGCCCUUAGGUUCGGAAUAACAGUUAGAAAUGACUGCUAAUACCGGAUGAUGACGUUAAGUCCAAAGAUUUAUCGCCUGAGGAUGAGCCCGCGUAGGAUUAGCUAGUUGGUGUGGUAAAGGCGCACCAAGGCGACGAUCCUUAGCUGGUCUGAGAGGAUGAUCAGCCACACUGGGACUGAGACACGGCCCAGACUCCUACGGGAGGCAGCAGUGGGGAAUAUUGGACAAUGGGCGCAAGCAUGAUCCAGCAAUGCCGCGUGAGUGAUGAAGGCCUUAGGGUUGUAAAGCUCUUUUACCCGGGAUGAUAAUGACAGUACCGGGAGAAUAAGCCCCGGCUAACUCCGUG
Molecule: ribosomal RNA, 436 nt
Filed under: uncultured bacterium
Lineage: Bacteria
Description: partial 16S ribosomal RNA
Rfam family: Bacterial small subunit ribosomal RNA
Source: RNAcentral